CCCUUAGAGUUUGAUCCUGGCUCAGGAUGAACGCUAGCUACAGGCUUAACACAUGCAAGUCGAGGGGAAACGAUAGGGAAAGCUUGCUUUUCCUAGGCGUCGACCGGCGCACGGGUGAGUAACGCGUAUCCAACCUGCCCAUGUCUGGGGAAUAACCCGUCGAAAGGCGGACUAACUCCCCAUGGUCUCCGAUGAGGACAUCUGAAUUGGAGUAAAGCUUCGCGGACAUGGAUGGGGAUGCGUCUGAUUAGGUAGUAGGCGGGGUAACGGCCCACCUAGCCUACGAUCAGUAGGGGUUCUGAGAGGAAGGUCCCCCACAUUGGAACUGAGACACGGUCCAAACUCCUACGGGAGGCAGCAGUGAGGAAUAUUGGUCAAUGGACGAGAGUCUGAACCAGCCAAGUAGCGUGCAGGAUGACGGCCCUAUGGGUUGUAAACUGCUUUUGCGCGGGGAUA
Molecule: ribosomal RNA, 456 nt
Filed under: uncultured bacterium
Lineage: Bacteria
Description: bacterial SSU rRNA
Rfam family: Bacterial small subunit ribosomal RNA
Source: RNAcentral